GUCCAGCCUCCAAGGUUACCAUGACAGGAAAGACGGCCGGAGGACAUCACAAGAUGUUUCUAAGGGCCAGGCCUGGAAGUAGCUUAUAUUACUUUUGCUCAUACUCUGUUGCUUGGCACUCUAUCACAUGGACCAGCUCUUAACUGCAAGGGUUUCUGGGAAAUGGGAGUCUCUAUGUGACCCAAGAAAUAGAACCACCAAGAUAAACACACAGCCAUGCCCAUAAAAUAUCACUUUUAUAGAGCUUCUCCCUGUGUAGAAAAUCUAAUGGAUUUGAAAACCCGAGAAUGGACUAACAUUCUUACCACACUAAUAACAUGGGUUUCAUUUCUGAGCACUCUUUUGAAUAUCUUUCUAGUGGGUACUCUCUUUAAAAAAUCUACAGAUUUUGGCGAGGAUCCAUGGCGGCUUUGGUUGCUGUUUGCGGUGAUCUAGGGAGGAAAAAGUUAACGCAUUUCGUAAAGGCUGCUCUCUGCCUCACGGAUCCUGGGACUCACGCGGUGCUGUGGAGGAGUUGUUCACAAUAUAAGCACGUAGCCGGCAAUGAGGACCUGCCCGUUCCAAUGGAAAAUCCUUAUAAGGAGCCUUUUAAAAAAAAAAAUGUAUCUUGUGUGGAAAACGUGUAGAUUAUAAGAAUGUACAGCUUUUGUCCCAGUUUAUUUCUCCAUUUACUGGAUGCAUUUAUGGAAGGCACAUAACAGGUCUUUGUGGGAAGAAACAGAAAGAAAUCACAAAAGCAAUUAAGAGAGCUCAAAUAAUGGGGUUUAUGCCAGUUACGUACAAGGAUCCUGCAUAUCUCAAAGACCCUAAAGUUUGUAACAUCAAGUAUCGGGAAUAAAUUGUAGGAGUCUUCACAUCCAUCAAUAAACAUAUUUUACAA
Molecule: non-coding RNA, 880 nt
Organism: Callorhinus ursinus (northern fur seal)
Lineage: Eukaryota; Metazoa; Chordata; Mammalia; Carnivora; Otariidae
Source: RefSeq, a predicted model, not a curated record